UAAGAUUGAAAAUUACCCUGGUUUUGGUCAUGGCAGUAACUGUGGGUGAUAUUUGACACUCAGAGCCAGUAGGGUCUCAUUUACCCACUCUCCCGUGUGGAAAUGUGAAACUCAGUUCCUGAUACAA
Sorex araneus (European shrew) is the source of this 127-nucleotide small nucleolar RNA. Lineage: Eukaryota; Metazoa; Chordata; Mammalia; Eulipotyphla; Soricidae. The record is from Ensembl.